RNAcentral lists this long non-coding RNA (205 nucleotides) under Elaeis guineensis (African oil palm). RNAcentral describes it as "long non-coding RNA (EGUI_LNC007991)". Lineage: Eukaryota; Viridiplantae; Streptophyta; Magnoliopsida; Arecales; Arecaceae. The record is from RNAcentral.
CCACCAACGAUGGUCACCCUUGCUUUGACCCUAGCAUGUGCCCCCACAUCCUCUCUUCCCCUGCUUGUGCCUUGGUUGUCGCCACCAACCAUCUAGGAGCUGCAAAACCCUUCCCUCCUACCUCAACGCCCCCAAACUCCCCUCAAAGAUCUGCCUACUCUACGAGAUCCUCGCCAACACUAAACCACCUUCAUAAUAGAGUGCA